AUGCUGGCCUUAGACUUGCAAUCCUCUUCCCGCAGGCUCCUGAGUAGCUGAGAUGACAAGCAUGUGCCAUCAUACCUGACUUUGGGUUGUUUCUUUAUGAUGUAUUUCCUAUUCGUUCACAAAUUUACUAUUUGUAUUCAUGUGUUAUGAGGAAAUGAAAGAUCAGAACAAGAUUAUCACAUUUGUCCUCACAACAUUAUGGCUAGGAUUUCUCCAGUGAUGAUUCCAAGUUAGAAUACAACGUAGAUGCUGCAAAUGGCAUUGUUAUGGAAGGAUACCUGUUCAAACGAGCCAGCAAUGCCUUCAAAACUUGGAACAGGAAAAAGCCCGAUCAUAUCAGGUACCAAAUGGCUUCCUUCCUUUUACCCUCAUCUUACUCCAGUUUCUUCUUUGGCACGAGAAAGCUCAUCAUUAACCUGCAUUUCAGUAGGAUUACUUGCAAUGGAUAAAAAGUCUCUCUAUAUUUUAAAUUGGGAAGAAAAUAUAAGCAUUUUAU
Non-coding RNA from Ictidomys tridecemlineatus (thirteen-lined ground squirrel), 496 nucleotides. The record is from RefSeq and is a predicted model, not a curated record. NCBI's taxonomy places the organism in Eukaryota, Metazoa, Chordata, Mammalia, Rodentia, Sciuridae.